UUUAUUUAUAUAUAAAAAUAUAAAUUAAAUAAAUUAUAUAAAUAUAAAAUAUAUGUAUUCGAGCUGUUAUCGAGCCGAACACGAGCGAGUUGACCCAAGCUCGUGUUCGGCUCGUUUAUUAAACGAGCUGAAAAAUCCAGCUCGUGUUCGGCUCGUUUACUAAACGAGCGAGCCGAUCUCGAGCUCAUUUCGAGCCGAACCCGAGCUGGCUCGCGAACAGCGAGCUGGAUUGCCACCCCUAGUUA
RNAcentral lists this long non-coding RNA (245 nucleotides) under Ananas comosus (pineapple). RNAcentral describes it as "long non-coding RNA (ACOM_LNC039119)". The record is from RNAcentral. Lineage: Eukaryota; Viridiplantae; Streptophyta; Magnoliopsida; Poales; Bromeliaceae.